This 650-nucleotide ribosomal RNA is filed under the name uncultured marine bacterium. RNAcentral describes it as "bacterial SSU rRNA". It matches the Rfam family "Bacterial small subunit ribosomal RNA", at positions 73 to 696 of the family's 1533-position model. The record is from RNAcentral.
CCGGUGCUUGCACUGGGAGACCCGAGUGGCGAACGGGUGAGUAACACGUGACCAACCUGUCCUAGGGUGAGGGACAACCCGGGGAAACCUGGGCUAAUACCGCAUGAUGUCACACUUCUGCAUGGUUGUGUGAUCAAAGAGGGCCUCUACUUGUAAGCUCUCGCCCAAGGAGGGGGUCGCGACGUAUCAGCUAGUUGGUGGGGUAACGGCCUACCAAGGCUACGACGCGUAGCGGAUCUGAGAGGAUGAUCCGUCACAUUGGGACUGAGAUACGGCCCAGACUCCUACGGGAGGCAGCAGUAGGGAAUAUUGCGCAAUGGGCGAAAGCCUGACGCAGCGACGCCGCGUGUGGGAGGAAGCCUUUCGGGGUGUAAACCACUGUCAGAGGGGAAGAACCGCGACAUUUCGAACAGAGUGUCGUCUGACGGUACCCUCAGAGGAAGCGCCGGCUAACUCCGUGCCAGCAGCCGCGGUAAGACGGAGGGCGCAAGCGUUGUUCGGAAUUACUGGGCGUAAAGCGCGGGCAGGUGGUCCGUUAAGUCGUCUGUGAAAACCCGGGGCUCAACCCCGUGGAAUGCAGGCGAUACUGGCGGACUGGAGAUCGGUAGAGGCUAACGGAAUUCCUAGUGUAGCGGUGGAAUGCGUAGAUA